This is a non-coding RNA of Oryza barthii, 201 nucleotides long. The record is from Rfam. Lineage: Eukaryota; Viridiplantae; Streptophyta; Magnoliopsida; Poales; Poaceae.
AAAAAAGCAAACCCUAGGUUUCCGUGUCCAACUUUGACUGUUCGUCUUAUAUGAAAUUUUUUUAUAAUUCGUAUUUUCAUUGUUAGAUGAUAAAACAUAAUUAAUAUUUUAUGCGUAACUUGUCUUUUUAAUUUUUUACAUAAUUUUUCAAAUAAGAUGGACGGUCAAACGUUGUAAACGGAAAUCAGGGUUUAUCUUUUU